UGGAGGAAGUGCUGCAGACUGUGGCUGGGCCCUGUCACAGGGAGCAACUGGGGCUGUGCAGAGGGGCGGUUGUGUGGCCCUCAGCAGAGGUGGGGCUUAGGGACCUGGGCAUCCUGAGAAGAUGAUGAGGGAGGACGGUACUCAGAAGCCCAGCCCAGCCCAGACUGCCUGACAUGCUGUGGGAUCCGCGAGCCCCGGGGGUAGCUGGUGAGGAGCCAAGGCCCAGGUCAUCCCCUCCUUAAGCCUGAGGUGGGAGGCGGACAGCAGCCCUGAUGCGGGACAGGGGACACAGGUUCGAGCCCUGGUCUGGGAAGAUCCCACAUGCCGCGGAGCAACUAGGCCCGUGAGCCACAACUACUGAGCCUGCGCGUCUGGAGCCUGUGCUCCGCAGCAAGAGAGGCCGUGACAGUGAGAGGCCCGCGCACCGCGAUGAAGAGUGGCCCCCGCUUGCUGCAACCAGAGAAAGCCCUCGCACAGAAACGAAGA
Molecule: long non-coding RNA, 486 nt
Organism: Balaenoptera acutorostrata (minke whale)
Lineage: Eukaryota; Metazoa; Chordata; Mammalia; Artiodactyla; Balaenopteridae
Exons: 3
Source: RefSeq, a predicted model, not a curated record